Long non-coding RNA from Myotis brandtii (Brandt's bat), 1543 nucleotides. RefSeq lists it as uncharacterized. NCBI's taxonomy places the organism in Eukaryota, Metazoa, Chordata, Mammalia, Chiroptera, Vespertilionidae. The record is from RefSeq and is a predicted model, not a curated record. The transcript is spliced from 3 exons.
UAGGAGAUCAUUGCAUCCUCUCCAGAGUAUGAGAGCAGCACUUGUUCUGGGGGGUGUGGAGGGGCUAACCCCUCCUUGUUCUUUAGAUAUCAUCUCUCGGGAACCUUCUCUGGUCUCUGUUCCCACAGACAGCCCAGUGAAAUGUCCCUACAAGGAGGUGCUCACAGCAGCCUGUUUCUUCCAUCCCAGACCUUCCUAUGCCAUGUGAGUUAAAGGUCUCAAGAUUCACAUCUUAGAUCCACCUCACCCUAAAGGGCACAACUGUCACAAGUUCAGAAGUGACACACCUUUUUAAAACCAUGCCAGGUAUGCAGGAGGACUGGUCAAACGGAGGGGUGGACUCAACCAGCCACCGUAGCUCCCCAUUAUCUGAAGCAGCUAACAGGACCAGUGUUUGUUCCCAGACCUGGAAUAUAAUGGCUCGUGAUUCCUCAAUUAAAGGACACGUACGCAAUCAACUCGGUCUGAGAAGAGCCUUCAGCUUCAUGUCCAGAUGAAAGAGGAGGACAGACUUUUAAAUGGGAGAGUUCAUUGAAAGAGAAGAGUUUUCAGUGACCAGAGAGAGAGGUAACCUUUCCUUGCUGCUGGAGCAGACUGAGAGGUGGAGGAGGAGGGAGAGCAAGGGGACCACCACACCCUCUCUUCCCUGAGAUGCUGCCCUGAGCAGAGAGAAGGGGAGAGCUUGAGGAUUAGAAUGGGAGGAGGGUGAUAUUUUAAAUUAAAUGGCACUGGGUGUUUACAACUCUCAAAGUAAAAGUGAGGCUGAGAUGUUGAUGAGUCAGAAAUGGCAAUGCAACUUCAGUAAAAUAAAGCCAUUCCCUGUUUGCACCCCAGCAGGCCAGCCUGCUCAAUAGACCUACUCAAUUUUCUUCAGCCCCAGGAGACUCUGCCUACCCUGAGGGAUGCUUCUUACUCCGUGUUUAUUCCAGACUAUCUAUGUCUGACCUAAGAGCACAGACUUUGGGAGGAUAGAGUCAGUCUGACUUAGAGGUUACGCUACUCAACCGCCUGCUCAUCCUUCCCAAGGGGAAAUGAACCAGGGCCAACCCCAGCCCAGACAGGAGGCUGAAAAAAUGGAAAACGCAGGAAGGAAAAAAUGUGUAGAGACUAUUCUUGCAAAACCUUCGCCCAGAUAAAGAGCUCAAAACCAAAAAUAAUCGGAGAUCAGAAUGGUAAAGAGGAGGGCCACUUGAGCCAGAAGGCAACAUUAGCUUCCUCGCAUCCUCAGGCGAACAGGGGUCAGACAAUUCCUUCAGCUCAUAUAUGGCCUUAGACUAGUCAGGGCACAUCUAUCCAAGGCUUCGGUUUUCCUGGCUGUCAAAAUAGACAGCAGCAGCUUGUUCCAGCAACCUCACACAAGUGGCAUGGAGUCAAAUGUGAUUGCAUGGCCUGAAAUGAAACAGAAACUCUGAAAACUGCAUAAAGCCACUCUACCCAGAAUAUUCCCAGUCGUCAUCUGCUAAUUACUGAGGCCCCUCUGGAGACUGGUUACCUCUGUAAUUCUCCUAAGGAUAUAUUUAGGCUAUUCUUGUUUUGUGACUAU